AUUAUUUUUAGACUCCGAGCCUACUUUCCUAAGUCUUAUUAAAUUUGAGCAAAUCAUAAAGGAUUUUGAGAAAUCAAACCUCCUCUCGUAUUUAGAAAGGUGUCCUAUGCAAGCCAUC
The sequence is a regulatory RNA element, 118 nucleotides long. It matches the Rfam family "Molybdenum/Tungsten riboswitch aptamer (Moco RNA motif)". The record is from Rfam.